RNAcentral lists this ribosomal RNA (369 nucleotides) under uncultured bacterium. RNAcentral's name for it is "bacterial SSU rRNA". It matches the Rfam family "Bacterial small subunit ribosomal RNA", at positions 527 to 898 of the family's 1533-position model. The record is from RNAcentral.
GGAGGAUCCAAGCGUUAUCCGGAAUCAUUGGGUUUAAAGGGUCCGUAGGCGGUUUUGUAAGUCAGUGGUGAAAUCCGGCAGCUCAACUGUCGAACUGCCAUUGAUACUGCAGGACUUGAAUAAUUGUGAAGUAACUAGAAUAUGUAGUGUAGCGGUGAAAUGCUUAGAUAUUACAUGGAAUACCCAUUGCGAAGGCAGGUUACUAACAGUUCAUUGACGCUGAUGGACGAAAGCGUGGGGAGCGAACAGGAUUAGAUACCCUGGUAGUCCACGCCGUAAACGAUGGAUACUAGCUGUUCGGAAGCAAUUCUGAGUGGCUAAGCGAAAGUGAUAAGUAUCCCACCUGGGGAGUACGAACGCAAGUUUGAA